UACGUAGGGUGCAGGCGUUAAUCGGAAUUACUGGGCGUAAAGCGUGCGCAGGCGGUUUUGUAAGCCAGAUGUGAAAUCCCCGGGCUCAACCUGGGAACUGCAUUUGGGACUGCCGCGCUAGAGGACGGGAGAGGAGCGCGGAAUUCCCGGUGUAGCGGUGAAAUGCGUAGAGAUCGGGAGGAAGGCCGGUGGCGAAGGCGGCGCUCUGGAACGUUUCUGACACUGAGGCUCGAAAGCGUGGGGAGCAAACAGG
This 253-nucleotide ribosomal RNA is filed under the name uncultured bacterium. RNAcentral's name for it is "partial 16S ribosomal RNA". It matches the Rfam family "Bacterial small subunit ribosomal RNA", at positions 524 to 776 of the family's 1533-position model. The record is from RNAcentral.